GAUGACCCUCAGUGGUCUGGGGUGCAGGCUUCAAACCUGUAGCUGUCUAGCGACAGAGUGGUUCAAUUCCUUUGAAUUCUC
Molecule: transfer RNA, 81 nt
Filed under: Tinamus guttatus (white-throated tinamou)
Lineage: Eukaryota; Metazoa; Chordata; Aves; Tinamiformes; Tinamidae
Description: Selenocysteine transfer RNA
Rfam family: Selenocysteine transfer RNA
Source: Rfam by way of RNAcentral